CUGCGUGUCAUAGUACGCAUUGUAGGCUCAUGGAUACUGAUUUGGAUUGCUGCCACCGGUCCUGCCAGAUCCUAACGUUUCCCUUUCCAGCUCCGUAGUUGUCUUUUGUUAUAGCAGACCUGUUAUUAUCCUGAUGCAUCGAUUGAUAGCAGCUAAUGAUUUCUUACCAUUUCCCUUUCCAGCUCUGUAGUUGUCUUUUGUUAUAGCAGACCUGGUAUUAUCCUGAUGCGUCGAUUGAUAGCAGCUAGCGUUUUCUUACCAUUUCCCUUUCCAGCUCCGUAGUUGUCUUUUGUUAUAGCAGACCUGUUAUUGUCCUGAUGCGUUGAUUGAUAGCAGCUAACGCUUCCUCCUGGUCUGAGCAGGCGUUCUGGAUACCGAGGAAUUGGGCAUUGUGAACAACACUUUCCGCAAGUCGCAUGGUUCAAGGCUACUGCCAGGAAU
RNAcentral lists this long non-coding RNA (441 nucleotides) under Hordeum vulgare. RNAcentral describes it as "long non-coding RNA (HVUL_LNC002656)". Lineage: Eukaryota; Viridiplantae; Streptophyta; Magnoliopsida; Poales; Poaceae. The record is from RNAcentral.